AUUGAACGCUGGCGGCAGGCUUAACACAUGCAAGUCGAGCGGGGGAAGGUAGCUUGCUACCGGACCUAGCGGCGGACGGGUGAGUAAUGCUUAGGAAUCUGCCUAUUAGUGGGGGACAACAUCUCGAAAGGGAUGCUAAUACCGCAUACGUCCUACGGGAGAAAGCAGGGGAUCUUCGGACCUUGCGCUAAUAGAUGAGCCUAAGUCGGAUUAGCUAGUUGGUGGGGUAAAGGCCUACCAAGGCAACGAUCUGCAGCGGGUCUGAGAGGAUGAUCCGCCACACUGGGACUGAGACACGGCCCAGACUCCUACGGGAGGCAGCAGUGGGGAAUAUUGGACAAUGGGGGGAACCCUGAUCCAGCCAUGCCGCGUGUGUGAAGAAGGCCUUAUGGUUGUAAAGCACUUUAAGCGAGGAGGAGGCUACUUUAGUUAAUACCUAGAGAUAGUGGACGUUACUCGCAGAAUAAGCACCGGCUAACUCUGUGCCAGCCGCCGCCGUAA
Molecule: ribosomal RNA, 501 nt
Filed under: uncultured bacterium
Lineage: Bacteria
Description: partial 16S ribosomal RNA
Rfam family: Bacterial small subunit ribosomal RNA
Source: RNAcentral